AUGGUAGGAUAGAGGCCUACCAUGGUGGUAACGGGUAACGGGGUGUUAGGGCACGACACCGGAGAGGGAGCCUGAGAAACGGCUACCACAUCCAAGGAAGGCAGCAGGCGCGCAAAUUACCCAAUCCCGACACGGGGAGGUAGUGACAAUAAAUAACAAUACAGGGUUCUUUGAAUCUUGUAAUUGGAAUGAGUACAAUUUAAAUCUCUUAACGAGGAACAAUUGGAGGGCAAGUCUGGUGCCAGCAGCCGCGGUAAUUCCAGCUCCAAUAGCGUAUAUUAAAGUUGUUGCAGUUAAAAAGCUCGUAGUUGAAUUUCGGGAUCAAUACGUCGGUCGUGCUUUCGGGUACGUACUGGCGUCAUUGGUUUCUCCUUUCUGACGAACCAUGAUGUCAUUAAUUUGGUGUUAUGGGGAGUUAGGACUGUUACUUUGAAAAAAUUAGAGUGUUUAAAGCAGGCAUUAGCUUGAAUACAUUAGCAUGGAAUAAUGAAAUAGGACGUUCGAUCCUAUUUUGUUGGUUUCUAGGAUCAACGUAAUGAUUAAUAGGGAUAGUUGGGGGCAUUAGUAUUCAAUUGUCAGAGGUGAAAUUCUUGGAUUUAUUGAAGACUAACUACUGCGAAAGCAUUUGCCAAGGAUGUUUUCAUUAAUCAAGAACGAAAGUUAGGGGAUCGAAGACGAUCAGAUACCGUCGUAGUCUUAACCAUAAACUAUGCCGACUAGGGAUCGGAUGGUGUUAAUUUUUUAAUGACUCAUUCGGCGCCUUACGGGAAACCAAAG
This 777-nucleotide ribosomal RNA is filed under the name uncultured Glomus. Its description in RNAcentral is "SSU rRNA". It matches the Rfam family "Eukaryotic small subunit ribosomal RNA", at positions 325 to 1103 of the family's 1831-position model. Lineage: Eukaryota; Fungi; Glomeromycota; Glomeromycetes; Glomerales; Glomeraceae. The record is from RNAcentral.